This 492-nucleotide ribosomal RNA is filed under the name uncultured bacterium. RNAcentral describes it as "partial 16S ribosomal RNA". It matches the Rfam family "Bacterial small subunit ribosomal RNA", at positions 29 to 507 of the family's 1533-position model. The record is from RNAcentral.
AGUGAACGCUGGCGGUAUGCCUAACACAUGCAAGUCGAACGGCAACACAGUAAGAUCUUGCUCUUACGGGUGGCGAGUGGCGGACGGGUGAGGAAUACAUCGGAAUCUACUUUUUCUUGGGGGAUAACGGAGGGAAACUUACACUAAUACCGCAUACGACCUACGGGUGAAAGCAGUGGAUCUUCGGACCUUGCGCGUUUGAAUGAGCCGAUGUCGGAUUAGCUAGUUGGCGGGGUAAAGGCCCACCAAGGCGACGAUCCGUAGCUGGUCUGAGAGGAUGAUCAGCCACACUGGAACUGAGACACGGUCCAGACUCCUACGGGAGGCAGCAGUGGGGAAUAUUGGACAAUGGGCGAAAGCCUGAUGCAGCCAUACCGCGUGGGUGAAGAAGGCCUUCGGGUUGUAAAGCCCUUUUGUUGGGAAAGAAAAGCAGCAGGUUAAUACCUCGCUGUUCUGACGGUACCUAAAGAAUAAGCACCGGCUAACUACGUG